GACGAACGCUGGCGGCGUGCCUAAUACAUGCAAGUCGAACGCUGAGGGCGGACCUUGCUUCUCUGCUUGAGUUGCGAACGGGUGAGUAACCCGUAAGUAACCUGCCUUGUACUGGGGGAUAACUAUAGGAAACGAUAGCUAAUACCGCAUAAUAGCUGUUGUUGCAUGAUAACUGUUUGAAAGGUGCAAUUGCUCCGCUACCACAUGGGCCUGCGUUGGAUUAGCUAGUUGGUGGGGCAACGCCUCACCAUGGCGACGAUACAUAGCCGAACGGAGAGGGUGGUCGGCCGCACUGGGAGUGUGACAGGGCCCAGAGGGCUUCAGGAGGGAGCAGGAGGGAAACGUCGGGAAGCGGCGGAAGACAGAGCGAGAAACGCGGCGGGAGGGAAGAAGGGUGUCGGGUCGGAAAGGUCGGUUGUAAGGGAAGAACGAGCGUGAGAGUGGAAAGUUCACAGUGUGACGGUAUCCGAUCAGAAAGGGACGGCUAACUACGUG
RNAcentral lists this ribosomal RNA (495 nucleotides) under uncultured bacterium. Its description in RNAcentral is "partial 16S ribosomal RNA". It matches the Rfam family "Bacterial small subunit ribosomal RNA", at positions 28 to 507 of the family's 1533-position model. The record is from RNAcentral.